AAGAAUUGAAGCUCUGAAGAAUUGAAGAUUCAAACUUCUAUAAAGCUCUCAAGACGUGCAAGUUUUUAUCAACUUCGAGAUCAUCAUCUUCUGAAAGAUUGAAGACUUGGAAGAUCAAACUUUCCUUAAAUUCUAGAAGAUUGAAGCUCAAAUAGAAUUGCAACUACAACAUUCUAAAGACCGAAGAUCAAGAAAUUCUAAGUUUUUAACUUGUAUUCGAGAGAAAGCAUCAAAGGAGAAAAUACUAGAGAUUGUAUUCACAAUAUUCAUCAAUAUACAAAUUUCAAUUCUACGAAAUACAUUUCUUCAAAAUCUCGUGUGAACAGUUUAGCACGCCUAGUGGGACAAUCUCUACCUUUCAUCUCUUUCUC
RNAcentral lists this long non-coding RNA (371 nucleotides) under Cucumis sativus (cucumber). RNAcentral describes it as "long non-coding RNA (CSAT_LNC001975)". The record is from RNAcentral. Lineage: Eukaryota; Viridiplantae; Streptophyta; Magnoliopsida; Cucurbitales; Cucurbitaceae.